This 253-nucleotide ribosomal RNA is filed under the name uncultured bacterium. RNAcentral's name for it is "partial 16S ribosomal RNA". It matches the Rfam family "Bacterial small subunit ribosomal RNA", at positions 524 to 776 of the family's 1533-position model. The record is from RNAcentral.
UACGUAGGGGGUGAGCGUUAUCCGGAAUUACUGGGCGUAAAGCGCACGCAGGCGGUUCGCCAAGUUUGGAGUGACAGUUGUCGGCUCAACCGACAAAGGACUUCAAAAACUGGUGAACUUGAGGACGAGAGAGGAACAUGGAACUCCAGGUGUAGUAGUGAAAUGCGUAGAUAUCUGGAAGAACACCAAUGGCGAAGGCAAUGUUCUGGCUCGUUUCUGACGCUCAGGUGCGAAAGCCAGGGGAGCGAACGGG